This 373-nucleotide ribosomal RNA is filed under the name uncultured bacterium. Its description in RNAcentral is "bacterial SSU rRNA". It matches the Rfam family "Bacterial small subunit ribosomal RNA", at positions 521 to 896 of the family's 1533-position model. The record is from RNAcentral.
UAAUACGGAGGGUGCAAGCGUUAUCCGGAUUUACUGGGUUUAAAGGGUGCGUAGGCGGGUAGGUAAGUCAGUGGUGAAAUCUUCGAGCUUAACUCGGAAAUUGCCGUUGAUACUAUUUAUCUUGAAUAUCGUUGAGGUUUGCGGAAUAUGUCAUGUAGCGGUGAAAUGCUUAGAGAUGACAUAGAACACCUAUUGCGAAGGCAGCAGGCUAAACGAACAUUGACGCUGAGGCACGAAAGCGUGGGGAUCAAACAGGAUUAGAUACCCUGGUAGUCCACGCCCUAAACGAUGAUUACUCGACAUCAGCGAUACACAGUUGGUGUCUGAGCGAAAGCAUUAAGUAAUCCACCUGGGAAGUACGACCGCAAGGUUG